This 497-nucleotide ribosomal RNA is filed under the name uncultured bacterium. RNAcentral's name for it is "partial 16S ribosomal RNA". It matches the Rfam family "Bacterial small subunit ribosomal RNA", at positions 28 to 507 of the family's 1533-position model. The record is from RNAcentral.
GAUGAACGCUGGCGGCGUGCCUAAUACAUGCAAGUCGAGCGAACAGACGAGGAGCUUGCUCCUCUGACGUUAGCGGCGGACGGGUGAGUAACACGUGGAUAACCUACCUAUAAGACGGGGAUAACUUCGGGAAACCGGAGCUAAUACCGGAGAAGAUAUUGAACCGCAUGGUUCAAUAGUGAAAGACGGUUGUGCUGGCACGUAUAGAUGGAUCCGCGCUGCAUUGGCUAGUUGGGAAGGUAACGGCUUACCAAGGCAACGAUGCGUAGCCGAGCUGAGAGGGUGAUCGGCCACACUGGAACUUGGACACGGUCCAGACUCCUACGGUAGGCCGCAGUCUGGAAUCUUCCGCAAUGGGCGAAAGCCUGACGGAGCAACGCCGCGUGAGUGAUGACGGUCUUCGGAUCGUAAAACUCUGUUUUUAGGUAAGAACCACUGUGUAAUUAACUAUGCACGUCUUGACGGUACCUAAUCAGAAAGCCCCGGCUAACUACGUG